AAAAAGUUUGAUUCUUGCUUUAGUUUUUAUUUUAUAGUUAAAGAGUACAUGCAAAUUUUAAUGCGAAAGGCGAUGUAACUAAAGGUUAUUUGUUUAUGAGCGGAGUUAUUACUCUUAAGAAUAAAUUCGCAGUACAAAAUAUUAUUUAUUUGGUUGGGGCCUGAAAAGGUAAAUUAUAUUCAAAAAUCUGAUUAAAUUUUGUGCCAGCAGUCGCGGUAAGACUUGGAGAUUGAGUAGAAAUUUUUAGUUAUAAUUACUAUAGGGGGUUUAUUUGUAAGUUAGGUUUAUAGUUAAUAAAAGGUGAAAUUAAUUUGUUAUAGUGUAAAUUUAAUUUAGUUUUAAAAUAAUAGGAGGUUGAUAAAAUUUAGAUAUGAACUAGGAUUAGAUACCCUAUUACACUUUAUUGAAAAAAAUUUAAAACUUGAAUAUUAAAAGUUAUGUUCUUUAAAUUCAGAGAAUUUGGCGGUAUUUUAGUCUUGUUAGAGGAACCUGUUUUAUAAACGAUACAACACGUAAUAUCUUACUAAUUUUUGUUUAGCAGUUUGUAUACCGUCAUUAUUAGAUAACUUUUAUAGGAUAAGUUAUUAUAAUUAAAUACUUAAAUAUAUUAGAUCAAGGUGCAGCUAAUAAAUUAGAAAAAAUGGGUUACAAUGAAAUUUAUUUAGAACGAAUCAAUAUUUGAAAGUAAUAUUGUGAAGGGGGAUUUAAUUGUAAUUAAAAAUUUAACAGGGUUUAGUGAUAUAAGUACUAAAUUAUGUACAUAUCGCCCGUCGCUUCCAUUUAAGGUGGAAUAAGUCGUAACAUAGUAGGUUUACUGGAAAGUGAACCUGGAAGUAG
Molecule: non-coding RNA, 837 nt
Filed under: Astacopsis gouldi
Lineage: Eukaryota; Metazoa; Arthropoda; Malacostraca; Decapoda; Parastacidae
Source: RNAcentral